AAGUCGUAACAAGGUCUCCGUAGGUGAACCUGCGGAGGGAUCAUUACAGAGUUUUUAACUCCCAAAACCAUGUGAACUUACCACUGUUGCCUCGGUGGAAGGUGCUGGAAACAGCACUGGAAGCCGGCGGACAUCUAAACUCUUGUUAAUUUAUGUCAUUCUGAAUCAUAACUAAGAAAUAAGUUAAAACUUUCAACAACGGAUCUCUUGGUUCUG
This 216-nucleotide unclassified non-coding RNA is filed under the name air metagenome. RNAcentral describes it as "partial contains small subunit ribosomal RNA, internal transcribed spacer 1, and 5.8S ribosomal RNA". The stretch from base 1 to 46 matches the Rfam family "Eukaryotic small subunit ribosomal RNA", at positions 1786 to 1831 of the family's 1831-position model. The record is from RNAcentral.